RNAcentral lists this ribosomal RNA (3012 nucleotides) under Salmonella enterica. RNAcentral describes it as "bacterial LSU rRNA". It matches the Rfam family "Bacterial large subunit ribosomal RNA". Lineage: Bacteria; Pseudomonadati; Pseudomonadota; Gammaproteobacteria; Enterobacterales; Enterobacteriaceae. The record is from RNAcentral. RNAcentral also lists the same sequence under 1 other name.
GGGUUGUGAGGUUAAGCGACUAAGCGUACACGGUGGAUGCCCUGGCAGUCAGAGGCGAUGAAGGACGUGCUAAUCUGCGAUAAGCGCCGGUAAGGUGAUAUGAACCGUUAUAACCGGCGAUUUCCGAAUGGGGAAACCCAGUGUGAUUCGUCACACUAUCAUUAACUGAAUCCAUAGGUUAAUGAGGCGAACCGGGGGAACUGAAACAUCUAAGUACCCCGAGGAAAAGAAAUCAACCGAGAUUCCCCAGUAGCGGCGAGCGAACGGGGAGGAGCCCAGAGCCUGAAUCAGCAUGUGUGUUAGUGGAAGCGUCUGGAAAGGUGCGCGAUACAGGGUGACAGCCCCGUACACAAAAGCGCAUGUGCUGUGAGCUCGAUGAGUAGGGCGGGACACGUGGUAUCCUGUCUGAAUAUGGGGGGACCAUCCUCCAAGGCUAAAUACUCCUGACUGACCGAUAGUGAACCAGUACCGUGAGGGAAAGGCGAAAAGAACCCCGGCGAGGGGAGUGAAAAAGAACCUGAAACCGUGUACGUACAAGCAGUGGGAGCACAGGUUUACCUGUGUGACUGCGUACCUUUUGUAUAAUGGGUCAGCGACUUAUAUUCUGUAGCAAGGUUAACCGUAUAGGGGAGCCGUAGGGAAACCGAGUCUUAACCGGGCGUUAAGUUGCAGGGUAUAGACCCGAAACCCGGUGAUCUAGCCAUGGGCAGGUUGAAGGUUGGGUAACACUAACUGGAGGACCGAACCGACUAAUGUUGAAAAAUUAGCGGAUGACCUGUGGCUGGGGGUGAAAGGCCAAUCAAACCGGGAGAUAGCUGGUUCUCCCCGAAAGCUAUUUAGGUAGCGCCUCGUGAAUUCAUCUCCGGGGGUAGAGCACUGUUUCGGCUAGGGGGCCAUCCCGGCUUACCAACCCGAUGCAAACUGCGAAUACCGGAGAAUGUUAUCACGGGAGACACACGGCGGGUGCUAACGUCCGUCGUGAAGAGGGAAACAACCCAGACCGCCAGCUAAGGUCCCAAAGUCAUGGUUAAGUGGGAAACGAUGUGGGAAGGCCCAGACAGCCAGGAUGUUGGCUUAGAAGCAGCCAUCAUUUAAAGAAAGCGUAAUAGCUCACUGGUCGAGUCGGCCUGCGCGGAAGAUGUAACGGGGCUAAACCAUGCACCGAAGCUGCGGCAGCGAACGUAUCACCCAAGACAACUUUACGGAGUUGACGAUUGACGGAGCGAAGCGACGUCAAAGCGUUCAUUAAAGUCGAGUUGGCUUAGGGAUACGUUCGUUGGGUAGGGGAGCGUUCUGUAAGCCUGUGAAGGUGUGUCGUGAGGCAUGCUGGAGGUAUCAGAAGUGCGAAUGCUGACAUAAGUAACGAUAAAGCGGGUGAAAAGCCCGCUCGCCGGAAGACCAAGGGUUCCUGUCCAACGUUAAUCGGGGCAGGGUGAGUCGACCCCUAAGGCGAGGCCGAAAGGCGUAGUCGAUGGGAAACGGGUUAAUAUUCCCGUACUUGGUGUUACUGCGAAGGGGGGACGGAGAAGGCUAUGUUGGCCGGGCGACGGUUGUCCCGGUUUAAGCGUGUAGGUGUGUGUUCCAGGUAAAUCCGGUUCACUUUAACACUGAGGCGUGACGACGAGGCACUACGGUGCUGAAGCAACAAAUGCCCUGCUUCCAGGAAAAGCCUCUAAGCAUCAGGUAACAUCAAAUCGUACCCCAAACCGACACAGGUGGUCAGGUAGAGAAUACCAAGGCGCUUGAGAGAACUCGGGUGAAGGAACUAGGCAAAAUGGUGCCGUAACUUCGGGAGAAGGCACGCUGACACGUAGGUGAAGUGAUUUACUCAUGGAGCUGAAGUCAGUCGAAGAUACCAGCUGGCUGCAACUGUUUAUUAAAAACACAGCACUGUGCAAACACGAAAGUGGACGUAUACGGUGUGACGCCUGCCCGGUGCCGGAAGGUUAAUUGAUGGGGUCAGCGUAAGCGAAGCUCCUGAUCGAAGCCCCGGUAAACGGCGGCCGUAACUAUAACGGUCCUAAGGUAGCGAAAUUCCUUGUCGGGUAAGUUCCGACCUGCACGAAUGGCGUAAUGAUGGCCAGGCUGUCUCCACCCGAGACUCAGUGAAAUUGAACUCGCUGUGAAGAUGCAGUGUACCCGCGGCAAGACGGAAAGACCCCGUGAACCUUUACUAUAGCUUGACACUGAACAUUGAGCCUUGAUGUGUAGGAUAGGUGGGAGGCUUUGAAGUGUGGACGCCAGUCUGCAUGGAGCCGACCUUGAAAUACCACCCUUUAAUGUUUGAUGUUCUAACGUGGACCCGUAAUCCGGGUUGCGGACAGUGUCUGGUGGGUAGUUUGACUGGGGCGGUCUCCUCCUAAAGAGUAACGGAGGAGCACGAAGGUUGGCUAAUCCUGGUCGGACAUCAGGAGGUUAGUGCAAUGGCAUAAGCCAGCUUGACUGCGAGCGUGACGGCGCGAGCAGGUGCGAAAGCAGGUCAUAGUGAUCCGGUGGUUCUGAAUGGAAGGGCCAUCGCUCAACGGAUAAAAGGUACUCCGGGGAUAACAGGCUGAUACCGCCCAAGAGUUCAUAUCGACGGCGGUGUUUGGCACCUCGAUGUCGGCUCAUCACAUCCUGGGGCUGAAGUAGGUCCCAAGGGUAUGGCUGUUCGCCAUUUAAAGUGGUACGCGAGCUGGGUUUAGAACGUCGUGAGACAGUUCGGUCCCUAUCUGCCGUGGGCGCUGGAGAACUGAGGGGGGCUGCUCCUAGUACGAGAGGACCGGAGUGGACGCAUCACUGGUGUUCGGGUUGUCAUGCCAAUGGCACUGCCCGGUAGCUAAAUGCGGAAGAGAUAAGUGCUGAAAGCAUCUAAGCACGAAACUUGCCCCGAGAUGAGUUCUCCCUGAGACUUAGAGUCUCCUGAAGGAACGUUGAAGACGACGACGUUGAUAGGCCGGGUGUGUAAGCGCAGCGAUGCGUUGAGCUAACCGGUACUAAUGAACCGUGAGGCUUAACCUUACAACGCCGAAG